Lactuca sativa (garden lettuce) is the source of this 1362-nucleotide non-coding RNA. The record is from RefSeq and is a predicted model, not a curated record. NCBI's taxonomy places the organism in Eukaryota, Viridiplantae, Streptophyta, Magnoliopsida, Asterales, Asteraceae.
AACAGUUCUUGUUGUUGAUUGGACCAAAAUUUUAGUGGUAUAUGCGUCCCCUACCGCCAUCAUCCUCCAAUUAAUCCUUCUUGGGUGUAACCCCCACCCCUCCACCACCUAAUCGAGUUCCCGUUUAAUUUCUCCUCACUAUUCCAAAACUCUCUUCGUUUCUAUUCUGCUUCAUUCUGCCAUCCAUACCCUUCACCGCCUCUCUCUUCUCCCUGCUUCGCACCUUGAUGCUUCAGACCGCUCCCGCUUUUAAUUUGGAACAUCGAUUGCACCAAAGAACCUCCGAUUCUACCCUCCGCUUCCUCCACCUCGCCUGCACCGCCCCUUGACACUGUUCAUCGGGUUAGUACAGGUUAAAGCUUUUUACUUUCCGAUCCUUCUAUUGACAUUGUGAUUUUUCCAGUUCUUUCUCCACCGCCACUUUCUCAAUUCAUCUUCCCCAAUCGACGAAGGUAGGGUUCGUGAACUUCCCGGCAACGUCGCUAGAUUGCCGUCGGAACUUAACGUCAACGUCGACGAACUUGUCGCAUAUCAAAGCAAAGGAGUCUCCUCGAAUGUCUUCGUUAAAAUCUGGUAUUGAAGUCAAAUCGAAUGAAAGUGGUAUCAUCACCAAUUCAGAUGAUUUGAAUGGUUCGAUUCGUCAUGAAAUAUCAACAAAGGGAAAGCGAUCCAUUAAUAUCGUUUGGCAUAAAUGUUCUGUAGAGAAAAUGGACAGACAGGAGUUGCUUCAGCAAAAAGGUUGCGUUGUUUGGAUUACUGGCCUAAGUGGUUCAGUCCUUUUCAGAUCUGAAGAUGCCUUUUAGAUCAUAUUUCAUUUUCAACUUAGUUUAUGAACACGAAUUCAGGAAAAAGCACCUUGGCUUGUGCAUUAACACGAGCUUUGCAUUCACAAGGGAAGCUGACAUACGUCCUUGAUGGUGAUAAUGUCAGGCAUGGUCUUAAUCGUGAUCUUACUUUCAAACCUGAACUAAUGACAAAAACUGCUCUAUUCACUGGAGAUUCAGAACUUCAAUAGCUCUUGCAUACUUUCAGGUUAUGACACUAUGGCUUAGGAGGUAUAAAGGUUAAGGUUCCAUGCUGUUAUAAAAAGAGCUUUAAGUUUAAUUUUAAAUAUUUUUGAUCUUAUUCGUGUAACCGGUGUUAAACAAUAUAUAUUUUUUCAUAUUAUGGUUGUAGGGAUAUACAUAAAUAUAUGUGUAUUGAAUUUUGUUUGUUUUACACUCUACUAGAAACCGUGUUCAAGGAUGUGAUUGUGUAGGGAUAUAUACAAAUAUAUGUGUAGGUAUAUGAGUAUGAUCUUGUGUAUGCAGACUGUAUAUUGCUAUAUGUUUGUUUUAAUGUCUGUCUAUUUGUGAUCGUGUA